GGGGAAUAUUGGACAAUGGAGGAAACUCUGAUCCAGCAAUUCUGUGUGCACGAAGAAGGUUUUCGGAUCGUAAAGUGCUUUAAGUUGGGAAGAAGGAAGUGACUGUACCAAUAGAAUAAGCGACGGCUAAAUACGUGCCAGCAGCCGCGGUAAUACGUAUGUCGCAAGCGUUAUCCGGAAUUAUUGGGCAUAAAGGGCAUCUAGGCGGGAUAUCAAGUCGACGGUGAAAACUAGUGGCUCAACCAUUAGCUGGCCGACGAAACUGGAAUUCUAGAGUGUUGGAAAGGUGGGCGGAACUACAUGAGUAGAGGUGAAAUUCGUAGAUAUAUGUAGGAAUGCCGAUGACGAAGGUAGCUCACUGGACAACAACUGACGCUGAAGUGCGAAAGCUAGGGGAGCAAAC
Molecule: ribosomal RNA, 403 nt
Filed under: uncultured bacterium
Lineage: Bacteria
Description: bacterial SSU rRNA
Rfam family: Bacterial small subunit ribosomal RNA
Source: RNAcentral